AGGACGAACGCUGGCGGCGUGCUUAACACAUGCAAGUCGAACGAGGGAAUUCUUUUCGGAGAAUAUACCGAGUGGCAAACGGGUGAGUAACGCGUAGGCAACCUGCCUUCAAGAUGGGGACAACAGUCCGAAAGGGCUGCUAAUACCGAAUGACAUGUCUGAACCGCAUGGGACGGACAGCAAAGACGGCCUCCAAACUAUGCUGUCGCUUGAAGAUGGGGAUGCGUCUGAUUAGCUUGUUGGCGGGGUAACGGCCCACCAAGGCGACGAUCAGUAGGGGUUCUGAGAGGAAGGUCCCCCACAUUGGAACUGAGACACGGCCCAGACUCCUACGGGAGGCAGCAGUGGGGAAUAUUGCACAAUGGGGGAAACCCUGAUGCAGCAACGCCGCGUGAGUGAUGACGGCCUUCGGGUUGUAAAGCUCUGUCUUCAGGGACGAUAAUGACGGUACCUGAGGAGGAAGCCACGGCUAACUACGUG
RNAcentral lists this ribosomal RNA (480 nucleotides) under uncultured bacterium. RNAcentral describes it as "bacterial SSU rRNA". It matches the Rfam family "Bacterial small subunit ribosomal RNA", at positions 26 to 507 of the family's 1533-position model. The record is from RNAcentral.